Molecule: unclassified non-coding RNA, 272 nt
Filed under: Bombus terrestris (buff-tailed bumblebee)
Lineage: Eukaryota; Metazoa; Arthropoda; Insecta; Hymenoptera; Apidae
Description: misc RNA ENSBTSG00005033168.1
Source: RNAcentral
UAAAAAUAGACUAGGUGAAAGUGCAAACCAACACCCCAGAAAUAUUCAGAAAAAUUACAAGAUCACUAAAGGAAAAAAACGCAGCAUAUCACACUUUUCAACUCAAAACCGACAAAAGCUACAAAGCAGUAAUCAGGGGACUACACCCAAAAACAAAUACCGGAAAAAUAAGUGAAGAACUGGCAAAAAUCGGACACCAGGAACACCGACACAUUGGCCGACUGACCUGAACAAAAAACCAGAUCUUCUGGACUUUGCAGUUACAAGGGGAC